Molecule: ribosomal RNA, 318 nt
Filed under: mine drainage metagenome
Description: bacterial LSU rRNA
Rfam family: Archaeal large subunit ribosomal RNA
Source: RNAcentral
GCGGAAGCCGGUGAAACUGACUAACUGGCGAGCAGUCCAGUUGCCAUCGUCUGAAAGCGAAGACCCCGUGGAGCUUUACUGCAGCCUGUGGUUGUGGUACGAGGUGGAAUGUGUAGGGUAGGCGGGACCCGUUAUCAGGGCGUGCCGCUAGGUACGUUCCGAGGGAACGAUGAAACACCGCCCUUUCGAUCUUGUAUCGCUCACCCCCGGGAGGGGGGACACCUAUAGGUAGGCAGUUUGGGUGGGGCGCCACGCCCUCCAAAAGUUAACAAGGGCCACCAAUGGCUGUCUCAGGUGCGUCAGAAAUGCACCGUGGAG